This 253-nucleotide ribosomal RNA is filed under the name uncultured bacterium. Its description in RNAcentral is "partial 16S ribosomal RNA". It matches the Rfam family "Bacterial small subunit ribosomal RNA", at positions 524 to 776 of the family's 1533-position model. The record is from RNAcentral.
UACGUAGGGGGCAAGCGUUGUCCGGAAUCAUUGGGCGUAAAGCGCGUGUAGGCGGCCAGAAAAGUCCGCUGUGAAAACUCGAGGCUCAACUUCGAGCUGUCGGUGGAAACUUUCUGGCUAGAGUCCGGAAGAGGAGAAUGGAAUUCCUGGUGUAGCGGUGAAAUGCGCAGAUAUCAGGAAGAACACCCGUGGCGAAGGCGGUUCUCUGGGCCUUGCCUGACGCUGAGGCGCGAAAGCUAGGGGAGCGAACAGG